GUAGGGAAUAUUGCACAAUGGAGGAAACUCUGAUGCAGCGACGCCGCGUGAGUGAUGAAGGCCUUCGGGUCGUAAAGCUCUGUCGCAGGGGAAUAACACAAUGAAGGUACCCUGUAAGAAAGGAUCGGCUAACUUCGUGCCAGCAGCCGCGGUAAGACGAGGGAUCCUAGCGUUGUUCGGAAUCAUUGGGCGUAAAGCGGAUGUAGGUGGCUAUGUAAGUCAGAUGUGAAAGCCUGGGGCUCAACCCCAGAAGUGCAUUUGAUACUGCGUAGCUUGAGUGUCGGAGAGGUUACCGGAAUACCUGGUGUAGUGGUGAAAUACGUAGAUAUCAGGUGGAACACCGGAGGCGAAGGCGGGUAACUGGACGAACACUGACACUGAGGCCCGAAAGCGUGGGGAUCAAACAGGAUUAGAUACCCUUGUAGUCC
Molecule: ribosomal RNA, 428 nt
Filed under: uncultured bacterium
Lineage: Bacteria
Description: partial 16S ribosomal RNA
Rfam family: Bacterial small subunit ribosomal RNA
Source: RNAcentral